Molecule: transfer RNA, 73 nt
Filed under: Mycoplasma crocodyli MP145
Lineage: Bacteria; Bacillati; Mycoplasmatota; Mollicutes; Mycoplasmatales; Mycoplasmataceae
Rfam family: tRNA
About the family: Transfer RNA (tRNA) molecules are approximately 80 nucleotides in length.
Source: Rfam by way of RNAcentral
GCCGUCAUAGCUCAGCUGGUAGAGCACAUCCAUGGUAAGGAUGGGGUCGCAGGUUCAAGUCCUGUUGUCGGCA